Molecule: ribosomal RNA, 499 nt
Filed under: uncultured bacterium
Lineage: Bacteria
Description: partial 16S ribosomal RNA
Rfam family: Bacterial small subunit ribosomal RNA
Source: RNAcentral
ACUCAAAUGAAUUGACGGGAGCCCGCACAAGCGGUGGAUUAUGUGGUUUAAUUCGAAGCAACGCGCAGAACCUUACCUAGGUUUGACAUCCUUUGACAACUACAGAGAUGUAGCUUUCGUAGCAAUACGACAAAGAGACAGGUGCUGCAUGGCUGUCGUCAGCUCGUGUGGUGGCAUGUCGGGUUAAGUCCCUCAACGAGCGCAACCCCUGUGUUUAGUUGCCAGCAUUAAGUUGGGCACUCUAGACAGACUGCCGUGGUUAACACGGAGGAAGGCGGGGAUGACGUCAAGUCCUCAUGGCCCUUACACCUAGGGCGACACACGUAAUACAAUGGUUGAUACAGAGGGAAGCGAAACCGCGAGGUGGAGCAAAUCCCAAAAAGUCAAUCUCAGUUCGGAUUGGAGUCUGCAACUCGACUCCAUGAAGGCGGAAUCGCUAGUAAUCGCGGAUCAGCACGCCGCGGUGAAUACGUUCCCGGGCUUUGUACACACCGCCCGU